AGGCGGUUGCUAGGCUCCAGCGGCUCCCGGCCAGCGGGGACGUGGAGGUGACAUUUCUCUGACCCACAGGACUGUGGGCGCCCUGCCGAGCGUCGCGCGGUCUUGGGGCGACCUGCAGUGGGGCCCCUGCGGCGCAGCGCGCGGUGGGACUGGCCGGGUUCCCGCGCCGCCCAGGGCCUGUGUCUGCGCCGGUUCCUGGCAAGGGCACCUUGGCCGGGCGGCCCGCGUCCCCUGCGCUUCCCACACCCACGUGGGCGGACCCGGCCCGCAAGCUGGGCCAGCCUGCGGUUUCCGGGCACUGGGGAGUGCGCAGAGCCCCGGGCCAGCGACCGCAGCCGGGGCCCCUGGCUUCUCCCGAGCACUUUCCCCCGGACCGGUCCCUCCAGGGUGGCGGGCGGCACCCAGGGCCGGCGCUCCUCACCAACGCGCUGCAGCUACGGGCUCAGGAGGGAGCCGCAGCGUCGGAGGAGGAAAGCAUUUAAGAAUAGCACAAAGCCUUAGGCUCGAGGAAGCGUGACUGCUUACGUGUUGAAAAUAAAGGUUCUGUAAGUCCCACCGCGGGUGCAUAUUGAAAAGAAAGGGAUCAUUAGCACGCGACCCUCGCCUAGGAGUAUAUAAACCGCAGCACGACUUUCGGAUCACAAAGGCAGAGAAAAGAACACAUUGAAGGCUUUUGCUCACUUUUCCAAGUUGUUUCGUUUCGUUUUGUUUCUAAUGUGGACGAUCAUUUAAAAUGCCUCUGGUGGCCGGGCGCGGUGACUGACGCCUGUAAUCACAGCACUUUGGGAGGCCGAGGCGGGCGGAUCACCUGAGGUCAGGAAUUCGAGACCAGCCUGGGCAAUACGGUUAAACCCCCUCUCUACUAAAAAUAAAAAAAUUAGCUGGGCGUGGUGGCAUGUGCUUGUAGUCCCAGCUACUUGGGAGGCUGAGACAGAAGAAUCGCUUGAACCCGGGAGGCGGAAGUUGCAAUGAGCCAAGAUUGCGCCAUUGCAUUCCAGCCUGGGCAACAGAGCAAGACCCUGUCUCCAAAAAAAACAAAUAAAUAUAACAAAAUUCCUCUGGUAGCCGGGUGCGGUGGCUCACGCCUGUAAUCUCAGCACUUUGGGAGGCUGAGGCAGGUGGAUCACUUGAAGUCAAGAGUUUGAGACCAGCCUGGCCAAUAUAGUGAAACCUCAUCUCUACUGAAAAUACAAAAAUUAGCCAGGCGUGGUGAUGCGCUCCUGUGAUCCCAGCUACUCGGGAGGCUGAGGCGUGAGAAUCGGUUGAACCCGGGAGGUGGAGGUUGUAGUGAUCCGAGAUUGUGCCAUUGCACUCCAGCCUGGGCAACAGAGGGAGAUCCUGUCUCUAAAAUAAAAAAUAAAAGAAAUGCCUUUGGUGAACAGGAAUUCUCAACAUUAGUGACCCGCAGUGUAUUAGUGUUAAUAAUGGACAUCCCCUUUGAUCCAGCAAGCCCAUCUAGAGAUUUCCUAGGAUAGACAAGCCAGUUUGUGCAAUUUCAUGUGUACAGCAUUGUUUUUAGUAUGGAAAGAUUAGAGUUUACAUAUCUACCCAUAGGGAGAGAGUUAAAUAAAUUAUGGUGCAUCCGUUUAGUGGAUUAGUAUACAGCCAUUAGGAAUAAAGGAAUUCUUUAUGUGCUGAUAUGAAAUAUCUUUUUUAUUUUCAAGAAAAAAACCCAGGUUCUGAAUAGUGUAUAAAGUAUGCUACUCAUUGUGCAUAGGGACAAAGAAAAUAUAUACAUUCAUGUUUGCAAAGAUACUGGAGAAAUGUUAGUAGUGGCUGCCUCUAAGGAUGACCAAGAGUGACACUGACUUUUCAUUGUAUCUUCCUUUGUUCUUUUUGAAAUUUGUACAGUCUACUUAUGCUAUCUAUUCAAAAUAAGUGGUGUUAAGAAGAAAUGCCUUUGAGAAUGAAAAUGGUAAGCCCUUGAUUGAGUGGGGUUCAUUUUCUGUUAGGAUCGUGGUCUCUAUUGGUCACAGCUGACCUUGAUCGUCACUGAAAGUGUAUCUCAUUACACAAUAUUGCAGUCUUGAACACCAGGAAGGUUGUUCUGUUCCACAUGAACAUGCUUCAUGAUGGGGUUAGGAAUGUACAACCUGUGAAAAGUGAGGGAGUCUUGAUUAUUAAUAAUAAUAUUAUUAAUAGCUACCUUUUCUUGAUCAUUAGGCACUAUUUGUACAUUAUUUCUCCUUCUCACAUCAACCCAGAAGGUAGGUAUAAGGAAACUGAGUGGCUUCUUGAAUGAAGCCAAACUGCUCUGCAAGAUUGGUGGAAAAGGAGACUCUCCAUGUGCUAACAGGUUCCUGGAUCUCAUAGCUGCUCUGUCUUAGCCCUUAAUAUGUUUCUUUUCCUCAUGGAUGGUGGUUCUGAAACCUGAGCUGUCAGAAGAAUCCUUGGCAGAUUCCUAGAUCCCAGCCUCAGACUCAGAAGGUCUGGAGUUGGGGCUGAAAGCUGCGUGGCUAAUGGGCACUGCAGGUGACUCUGAGGCUGCUGGUCAGUGUCUAGCACUUGGAGAAACUCUACUGAGGGCACCUGCCCCUAAUGCACUGUUGCCACCACUGGGCUGGGGUCAAGAGGCUUUACUUCCCACAUUUGGGCCUCAAUUGGGACCUCUGAGCUUUCCACUAGUUUCCGUUCCAUGAAGGAGUACAAAUUGGAGUAUGUAAAGACAAAAGACAUACGUAAGUGGAUAAUUUGGGUUUGAACUAAGUUCUCUGCGACUCUCAAAGCCAUACUUCCCCCAUGUUGCCACAAAAAGUAUUUGUUUCAUGUUGCCAUGUAUCUCUUACUUCAAAUAUGAAGCAGGAAUGUGAUCUAAAGCAUAAGAACAUAGCAAUAGAUAGACCCAUGUACAUGAUUUCGUAAAACUUUAGAAAGGCCAGUCCUACAUGGUUUGUCCAUAUUUGGACGGUGUGUGGAAUGCACAAAUGAAAGCAUCACUGGCUAUUCUGAACCCCAGGUUUGUGGAAGUGAGUGUAAAGGCCCAGCAGUGAGCCCCAAUCUCACCUGCCCAUCAAAGUUCAGAAACGACAAUCAGAAUAGGCCGCACUUGGCGCUUCCCUGUAGACACAGGAUCUGUGAGUUUGGACAGAUUUCUGGUCAGUUUGGAAGGAAGCUGGCCUCUGUUAACAGAGCACCCCUUAUGGGUCAGUGUUGUGCAGGCAGUCCACAUACACUGUGUGUAUGCGAUGACAGUGCGUCUGCUUGUAGAAGGGGCUGGGUCCCCUCUGCAGAGCCUCCGCAUGGGGCUGCAUGACUGGUUCCGGCCGACUUGCUGGGGAGCGCACAGCCUGUCCACAAAGGGAAUCUUCAUCCUUCCUGAUCUGUAGAGCCAUUUGCAAUGCGUGAUGGCAACUGCUUAACUUCAGUUUUCGUCCCUGGGCCAGAGAUUUCUGUGCCCUGGGAUAAUAAACGUAUUAUCUAAAGAGCUUUUAUUUCUUUCUAGAGAAUAAGGAAAAUGAUACUCUGCAGAAUUUCUAUUUCUUUUGUAAUUAUCUCAGGGGAAGGUAGUUAUUAAGUGUUCACUGAUUAGGAUUAAUGUUUCCAAUUUUUGUCAAGAACAGAAUGUAUGUAUUACUAAUUUAACCAUAAUUUCAAUCAAAACUGUGUCAUUAAAAAUGUUGGCAGUCAUGCAUUUCCUGCAUGGUUAUGAAUUUUUUCAUGUAUCUAUAGUAUUUUUCUAACAGUCUAAUUUUAAUUCAUUCACUUUCUCACGAAAAUGUAUUUUUUUUCCAUUUCAGCAUGUAGUACUUGUGUUACCUUUUCACGAGGCCCACACUCCUCCAAGGAGGCUGCUGAUUGUCUCUAAACUGAUUACCUCCAUUUGUUCUUUCCUUGAUCUUACAGUGUCCAUCAGCUUCCUAUGAUUGAAGAAAAGCUUCCACUUGUAAUAAACCAACUUCUCUCAUCCAGUUAUCAACAUAGACCAAAAAAAAAAAGAAAAAAAAAAGGCCAGGCGCAGUGGCUCAUGCCUGUAAUCCCAGCACUUUGGGAGGUCAAGGUGGGCAGAUCACUUGAAGUCAGGAGUUCAAGACCAGUCUGGCCAACAUGGUGAAACCCUGUCUCUACUAAAAAUACAGAAAUUAGCCGGGAAUUGGUGGUGCGCACCUAUAGUUCCAGCUACUCAGGAGGCUGAGGCAGGUGAAUCGCUUGAAUCCAGGAGGCGGAGGUUGCAUUGAGAGGAGAUCAUGCCACUGCACUGGGCGGCAGAGCAAAACUCUGUCUCAAGAAGAAAAAGAAAAAAGAAAAAAGCGGAGUCGUUCUGUGAGUGAAAACACUGAAUUCCACCGGUUCCUGAUCAUAUUGCCUUUAUUUCAUUCAUUCAUUCAUUCUGGAAAUGGGGAUAAAUAGCCCGUUUGUCUUUCCUGCAGGUUUGUUACGAUGGUGAAGGCAAUUUAGAAGGAACUAUUUAGUGGAGGAUAAAAGUGUUUUGUAAAUGU
RNAcentral lists this long non-coding RNA (4436 nucleotides) under Homo sapiens (human). RNAcentral describes it as "HSALNT0338445". The record is from RNAcentral. Lineage: Eukaryota; Metazoa; Chordata; Mammalia; Primates; Hominidae.